GCCUUCGUGUUGUAGUGGUCAGCACGCUCGACGCGUAACCGAGAGGUCCGUGGUUCGAUUCCCGGCGAAGGCG
Non-coding RNA from Stegodyphus mimosarum, 73 nucleotides. Lineage: Eukaryota; Metazoa; Arthropoda; Arachnida; Araneae; Eresidae. The record is from Rfam.